UUUUAUUGGAGUUGUAUGAAGGGUCGGAUGAAAAAUAAGCUGUCUUAUUUAUAAAAAUUGAAUUUGAUUUUGAGUGAAAAGGCUUAAAUAUUAAAAAGGGACGAUAAGACCCUAUAAAACUUUAUAUAAAGUAAAUUUUUUAUUAUAAUUAUUCGUUUACUAAUAAAUAAUUUAUUAAUAUUUUAUUGGGGCGAUAGGAAUAUACAUAGAUAACUGUUCUUUUAAUUUAAAAACAAAGAUUAUUGUUUUGAAUGAUCCUUACUAAAGAUUAAAAGGUAAAGUUACUUUAGGGAUCCCACCCUAAUUUUUUUUGAGAGUUCUUAUCGACAAAAAAGAUUGCGACCUCGAUGUUGAAUUAAAAUUUCUCUAUGGCGCAGGAGCUAUAGAACAGAGUCUGUUCGACUUUUAAAUUUUUACAUGAUUUGAGUUCACACCGGCCCCAGCCAC
This 447-nucleotide ribosomal RNA is filed under the name Odontozona sculpticaudata. RNAcentral's name for it is "partial 16S ribosomal RNA". The stretch from base 67 to 447 matches the Rfam family "Bacterial large subunit ribosomal RNA", at positions 2046 to 2629 of the family's 2925-position model. The record is from RNAcentral. Lineage: Eukaryota; Metazoa; Arthropoda; Malacostraca; Decapoda; Stenopodidae.